This 85-nucleotide transfer RNA is filed under the name Candidatus Scatousia excrementipullorum. RNAcentral's name for it is "tRNA-Leu". It matches the Rfam family "tRNA". From Rfam's summary of the family: Transfer RNA (tRNA) molecules are approximately 80 nucleotides in length. Their secondary structure includes four short double-helical elements and three loops (D, anti-codon, and T loops). Further hydrogen bonds mediate the characteristic L-shaped molecular structure. tRNAs have two regions of fundamental functional importance: the anti-codon, which is responsible for specific mRNA codon recognition, and the 3' end, to which the tRNAs corresponding amino acid is attached (by aminoacyl-tRNA synthetases). tRNAs cope with the degeneracy of the genetic code in two manners: having more than one tRNA (with a specific anti-codon) for a particular amino acid; and 'wobble' base-pairing, i.e. permitting non-standard base-pairing at the 3rd anti-codon position. The record is from RNAcentral.
GUCGAAGUGGCGGAAUUGGUAGACGCGCAUGAUUCAGGUUCAUGUGGUUAACGCCUUGAGGGUUCGAGUCCCUUCUUCGACACCA